GAAAUGCGAUAAGUAAUGUGAAUUGCAGAAUUCAGUGAAUCAUCGAAUCUUUGAACGCACCUUGCGCUCCUUGGUAUUCCGAGGAGCAUGCCUGUUUGAGUGUCGUGAAAUUUCUCAACCUUUCUAGCUUUUAUAUAUGUUAGUCAGGUUUGGAUUGUGGAGGUUGCUGGCUUUUUUCAAAAGUCAGCUCUUCUUAAAGACAUUAGCGAGAUCAUAGCUGGAUCGUCUUUGGUAUGAUAAUUAUCUAUACCACUGAGAAUCAGUUUCCUUCAUGGAAGAUUUUGCUUCUAAUCGUCUCAAUGUAGACAACACUUUGACAAUUUUGACCUCAAAUCAGGUAGGACUACCCGCUGAACUUAA
This 360-nucleotide unclassified non-coding RNA is filed under the name uncultured Entolomataceae. RNAcentral describes it as "sequence contains ITS1". The stretch from base 1 to 105 matches the Rfam family "5.8S ribosomal RNA", at positions 50 to 154 of the family's 154-position model. Lineage: Eukaryota; Fungi; Basidiomycota; Agaricomycetes; Agaricales; Entolomataceae. The record is from RNAcentral.